AAUAAUGCAAUAUCCGUAAAAUCUGAAAAUCAUUGUGUUAAAUCUAACGUGGUAUAAUUAUUUUAGGAUUAAACUCAAUUAAAUCCCAUGUAAUGAGGAAGACAAGAUAAAUUAUCUUAUAAAAAAAGCCGAUAAUAAUAUCGGCUUUUUUUAUA
This 155-nucleotide small RNA is filed under the name Citrobacter gillenii. RNAcentral describes it as "Enterobacterial sRNA STnc430". It matches the Rfam family "Enterobacterial sRNA STnc430". Lineage: Bacteria; Pseudomonadati; Pseudomonadota; Gammaproteobacteria; Enterobacterales; Enterobacteriaceae. The record is from RNAcentral.